GAACGCUGGCGGCGUGCUUAACACAUGCAAGUCGAGCGGAAAGGCCCUUCGGGGUACUCGAGCGGCGAACGGGUGAGUAACACGUGAGCAACCUGCCCUAGGCUUUGGGAUAACCCUCGGAAACGGGGGCUAAUACCGAAUAUGACUGCUGAUCGCAUGGUUGGUGGUGGAAAGUUUUUCGGCCUGGGAUGGGCUCGCGGCCUAUCAGCUUGUUGGUGGGGUGAUGGCCUACCAAGGCGACGACGGGUAGCCGGCCUGAGAGGGCGACCGGCCACACUGGGACUGAGACACGGCCCAGACUCCUACGGGAGGCAGCAGUGGGGAAUAUUGCACAAUGGGCGGAAGCCUGAUGCAGCGACGCCGCGUGAGGGAUGACGGCCUUCGGGUUGUAAACCUCUUUCAGCAGGGACGAAGCGAAAGUGACGGUACCUGCAGAAGAAGCGCCGGCCAACUACGUGCCAGCAGCCGCGGUAAGACGUAGGGCGCGAGCGUUGUCCGGAUUUAUUGGGCGUAAAGAGCUCGUAGGCGGC
This 530-nucleotide ribosomal RNA is filed under the name Micromonospora auratinigra. Its description in RNAcentral is "bacterial SSU rRNA". It matches the Rfam family "Bacterial small subunit ribosomal RNA", at positions 31 to 579 of the family's 1533-position model. The record is from RNAcentral. Lineage: Bacteria; Bacillati; Actinomycetota; Actinomycetes; Micromonosporales; Micromonosporaceae.